RNAcentral lists this microRNA precursor (56 nucleotides) under Heligmosomoides polygyrus. RNAcentral describes it as "microRNA hpo-mir-10075a precursor". The record is from miRBase by way of RNAcentral. Lineage: Eukaryota; Metazoa; Nematoda; Chromadorea; Rhabditida; Heligmosomidae.
UCGGAGUAUUUCAAGCAUGGCGCAAUAUGUUCUGUCAUGCUAGGAAUCCUCUGAGA